RNAcentral lists this ribosomal RNA (550 nucleotides) under uncultured bacterium. RNAcentral describes it as "bacterial SSU rRNA". It matches the Rfam family "Bacterial small subunit ribosomal RNA", at positions 94 to 640 of the family's 1533-position model. The record is from RNAcentral.
AGCGGCGGACGGGUGAGUAAUGCCUGGGAAUGUGCCCUGAUGUGGGGGAUAACUAUUGGAAACGAUAGCUAAUACCGCAUAAUCUCUUCGGAGCAAAGAGGGGGACCUUCGGGCCUCUCGCGUCAGGAUUAGCCCAGGUGGGAUUAGCUUGUUGGUGAGGUAAUGGCUCACCAAGGCAACGAUCCCUAGCUGGUCUGAGAGGAUGAUCAGCCACACUGGAACUGAGACACGGUCCAGACUCCUACGGGAGGCAGCAGUGGGGAAUAUUGCACAAUGGGGGAAACCCUGAUGCAGCCAUGCCGCGUGUGUGAAGAAGGCCUUCGGGUUGUAAAGCACUUUCAGUAGGGAGGAAGGUAGUGUAGUUAACACCUGCAUUAUUUGACGUUACCUACAGAAGAAGCACCGGCUAACUCCGUGCCAGCAGCCGCGGUAAUACGGAGGGUGCGAGCGUUAAUCGGAAUUACUGGGCGUAAAGCGCAUGCAGGCGGCCUGUUAAGUCAGAUGUGAAAGCCCGGGGCUUAACCUCGGAAUUGCAUUUGAAACUGGCAGG